AAGGNGUAAUACCGCAUAGGAAGUUUGUUCGCAUGAACAAACUUAGAAAGAUGGCUCUGCUAUCACUUAUCGAUGGCCUUGCGGUGCAUUAACUAGUUGGCGAGGUAACGGCUCACCAAGGUGAUGAUGCAUAGCCGACCUGAGAGGGUAAUCGGCCACAUUGGGACUGAGACACGGCCCAAACUCCUACGGGAGGCAGCAGCA
This 204-nucleotide ribosomal RNA is filed under the name uncultured Aerococcus sp. RNAcentral's name for it is "partial 16S ribosomal RNA". It matches the Rfam family "Bacterial small subunit ribosomal RNA", at positions 158 to 355 of the family's 1533-position model. Lineage: Bacteria; Bacillati; Bacillota; Bacilli; Lactobacillales; Aerococcaceae. The record is from RNAcentral.